Molecule: long non-coding RNA, 1762 nt
Organism: Salvia splendens (bonfire salvia)
Lineage: Eukaryota; Viridiplantae; Streptophyta; Magnoliopsida; Lamiales; Lamiaceae
Exons: 14
Source: RefSeq, a predicted model, not a curated record
ACCGUUGGAAAAAAGCACCACAUUCAUUGACCGCCUCUCGUCUCUUCUGAGUCGCCUCGAAUUCUCUGGCUGCGACGCCGCCGCCGAUGCCGGCUGCUCAUCGUGGCUUUAGGCGCCGCCGACGUGGAAGCAAUCUCCGUGUUUAUUUAAUCGAUGAGGCGGAAUUCACGUCACUAUCGACCUUCUCACGGACUCGCCGUCUGAUUUUGUUGACGCCGAUUCUCGCUGAGCGGUGAGAGGCGCUCCAGGAUCCACUGAGCAGUCGCUGCCGUCGGAGUCUCACUUCGGUCGGUGUCAUACUCCAGCCAUCUCGGCUGCAUUGUCACUGUCAAUUUCGUCGGACUGCUGUGGACUUCGCGGCUUAGAUGAGAAGGAUCUGUUUCUCAACAUGUUCAUUCGGUUCAUAGAGGACUAUUAGAAACUGUCAGAUGACAAAGUGUCCGCAGUUAGCAAGAACUUAUGUUCACUGUUAAGUCAUGCAGAGUCUUUAGUUGCAGGAUUUUUGAAUGAAGAUGAUGUACAACUGCCGAGGUUAUUUGUAAGUCAGUUUGAGUGCCGAAUCGUUCGUUCUGCAUCGGAAAAUUAUUUAGUCCAUGAGCUUGGGAAGAGGUUGACUGCAGGAGCAACUAGCUUCCUAUAUUGGACUCCCGGCCCUGAUGAAAAAAGAGGAAUAAGCUUCAUAAAAAGGAAUUUUAAUGCCAGAAAAGGAAGGUUUCCAGCAGGUAGGACAUCCGAGCUUUUAUUGUAGUCGUCAAAUCUUGGUCUUUGCGGAUUCUGGAAAGUCUUUGUGUUUGAGUCAGAUCAUAGAGCAAUCAUGCUGCGUUUGAGGCUACUGAGAUAAUUCAACAUAUUCUAGUGUUACUCGUAGUCGAUUUGAAGUCUCUAAGCAUUUAGAUUCAUUCUUGCAAAUGCCAUCUCUUGUGCAACUAAGGUUCUUGCAUUGCUGAAAAAAUGUUUGGUAUAGAUUCAAGAGAGUUAAAUGCUCCCACCGAGGCAAGUUACCCGAAGGGCCAACUGGAACGUAAUACAAAGUGCUUGGCAGAUGUCGUCUCAGAUGCUUCAAAUUUUCGGUCAUUCAUUAUGAUAAACUUUACUCUACAAAUGUGUUCCUUUAGAGGGAAGCUCUAGCAGCAAUCUUUCUAUUCCCUCAUGGAGAGUUUGUAUCUGGCUGGUGAUCGUCUAAUGUUCUAGUUUGUGAAGAGGAUGCACCAUUAGAUGUACCUCGUUCAUCUUAUGCUCAUUAGAAAACGACUUUGUUGAUUAAAGUGAUUGCAAACCUUCAUUGUUUUGUUCCUGAUGUAUACCGGGAUGAGAACGAUCUGUUUCUCAACAUGUUCAUUCGGUUCAUAGAGAAGGACACUGUCAGCAUUUUGGUAUGCGAGAAGGUACUAGGUUUCCCAGCAGGAAAGACUGUGUUUGAGGCAGAUUACAGAGCAAUCAUGCUGCUGCUAGUGUUACUCGUAUUCGAUUUGAAGGCCUCUCUAAGCAUUUAGAUUCAUUCUUGCAAAUAUUAUCUCUUGUGCUGCUAUGUUGUUUUCUGUGAUUGUUCCUAGUUCAUAAAUAGACUAGAUAGUACUUAGUCGAUCUGAAGGUCGAGGGUAGUAGGGGCCGACUGAGUUCUUAACUUAAAAGAAGCGGGGGGAAGGGUGGAAAAAUGAAGGUAUAAUGAUUUUUGAGCUUGCUUUGCUUGAUCUUCUAUUUCUUGGUUGUUGCGCUUAUAUUUUUCUACUUAUUUAAUUCAUUCUUUGCUGCAUUUUGCAGC